UACAGAGGGUGCAAGCGUUGUUCGGAAUUACUGGGCGUAAAGCGCGUGUAGGCGGCCCUGCAAGUCGGGUGUGAAAUCCCACGGCUCAACCGUGGAAGUGCACUCGAAACUGCAGGGCUAGAGUCCUGGAGAGGAAGGUGGAAUGCUUGGUGUAGAGGUGAAAUUCGUAGAUAUCAAGCGGAACACCGGUGGCGAAGGCGGCCUUCUGGACAGUGACUGACGCUGAGACGCGAAAGCGUGGGGAGCAAACAGG
This 253-nucleotide ribosomal RNA is filed under the name uncultured bacterium. RNAcentral describes it as "partial 16S ribosomal RNA". It matches the Rfam family "Bacterial small subunit ribosomal RNA", at positions 524 to 776 of the family's 1533-position model. The record is from RNAcentral.